GGGCCGUUAGCUCAAUUGGUAGAGCAUCUGACUCUUAAUCAGCAGGUCCGGGGUUCGACUCCCCGACGGCCCACCA
Molecule: transfer RNA, 76 nt
Filed under: Desulfocapsa sulfexigens
Lineage: Bacteria; Pseudomonadati; Thermodesulfobacteriota; Desulfobulbia; Desulfobulbales; Desulfocapsaceae
Also listed under: 5 other names
Description: tRNA-Lys
Rfam family: tRNA
About the family: Transfer RNA (tRNA) molecules are approximately 80 nucleotides in length.
Source: RNAcentral